UCAGUCGGCCGGACGGCCGCUCCGGCAGGUGCCGAAAGGCCGCCGGGGAGGAAAGUCCGGGCUCCCUUGACAUACGGUGCCGGAUAACGUCCGGCGGGGGCAACCCCAGGGAAAGUGCCACAGAGAACGAACCGCCCCGCUUCGCCUUCGGCUUCGCGGGGUAAGGGUGAAAAGGUGCGGUAAGAGCGCACCGCGGCUCCGGCAACGGAGCCGGCAUGGUAAACCCCACCGGGAGCAAAACCGAAUAGGGACGGCGUAGCGGGCUGUUCGCGCAAGCGAUAACGCCGCGGGGCGAUGUCAGGCCCGCCGUCCGGGUAGGUUGCUCGAGGCCAUGUGCAAACAUGGUCCCAGAGGAAUGGCCGUCACGUAUCGUUUGCGCAAGCGGACGGUGCCUUACAGAACCCGGCUUACAGGCCGGCUGAUAUC
This 426-nucleotide RNase P RNA is filed under the name Bradyrhizobium japonicum. RNAcentral describes it as "bacterial RNase P". It matches the Rfam family "Bacterial RNase P class A". Rfam says of the family: Ribonuclease P (RNase P) is a ubiquitous endoribonuclease, found in archaea, bacteria and eukarya as well as chloroplasts and mitochondria. Its best characterised activity is the generation of mature 5'-ends of tRNAs by cleaving the 5'-leader elements of precursor-tRNAs. RNAcentral also lists the same sequence under 4 other names. The record is from RNAcentral. Lineage: Bacteria; Pseudomonadati; Pseudomonadota; Alphaproteobacteria; Hyphomicrobiales; Nitrobacteraceae.